UCAAACUCAUCAAGAUCUGGCUGGAGGGAGCACUUGAUCAGCUGCAGGAUUGUUUCUCAAAUACUAAUUGGAAUUUAUUUGAACAAGAGGAUUUGGAGGAAUAUACAAAAAUUGUACUGUUUUACAUCUUGACCUGUGUGGAUACAGUUACUGUGAAUAAACGCAUCUGGAUUUUUCCAAACCAGAAGCCCUGGAUGAACAAGGAUGUGCAAUUACUUCUCAAGACAGGUGAUAUGGCAUUCAGGUCUGAGGACAGGGUUUGGUAUAACAAGAUUAUUCACUAAUAA
Non-coding RNA from Pseudonaja textilis, 287 nucleotides. Lineage: Eukaryota; Metazoa; Chordata; Lepidosauria; Squamata; Elapidae. The record is from RefSeq and is a predicted model, not a curated record.